UGGGGUUUUGGCUUAGUGGUAGAGAACUUGCCUAGCAUGCGUGAGGCACUGGGUUCGAUCCUCAGAACCACAU
This 73-nucleotide transfer RNA is filed under the name Marmota monax (woodchuck). RNAcentral's name for it is "tRNA.Ala". Lineage: Eukaryota; Metazoa; Chordata; Mammalia; Rodentia; Sciuridae. The record is from RNAcentral.